AUUGAACGCUGGCGGCAUGCCUUACACAUGCAAGUCGAACGGCAGCACGGGGGGUAACCCCUGGUGGCGAGUGGCGAACGGGUGAGUAAUAUAUCGGAACGUGUCCUGUAGCGGGGGAUAACCUAUCGAAAGAUGGACUAAUACCGCAUACGACCUACGGGUGAAAGCGGAGGACCGCAAGGCUUCGCACUAUAGGAGCGGCCGAUAUCGGAUUAGCUAGUUGGCGGGGUAACGGCCCACCAAGGCGACGAUCCGUAGCUGGUCUGAGAGGACGAUCAGCCGCACUGGAACUGAGACACGGUCCAGACUCCUACGGGAGGCAGCAGUGGGGAAUUUUGGACAAUGGGCGCAAGCCUGAUCCAGCCAUGCCGCGUGAGUGAAGAAGGCCUUCGGGUUGUAAAGCUCUUUCGGCGGGGACGAAACGGUUCGUGCUAAUACCACGGACUACUGACGGUACCCGCAGAAGAAGCACCGGCUAACUACGU
Molecule: ribosomal RNA, 485 nt
Filed under: uncultured bacterium
Lineage: Bacteria
Description: partial 16S ribosomal RNA
Rfam family: Bacterial small subunit ribosomal RNA
Source: RNAcentral